UACACAACGGUCGUCGUAUACCAGUAAUGUUGGCAGCGGAAUAUAAUAAUAAUAAUAGUAGUAGUAGUAAUAAUAAGAAGAAGAAGUAAUAAUUACCGAUACAUGUGCCCGGAGUUUGCAGUCGGAGUUCAACGGUUCGUAAAUCGUAGGUGGACAAACGCAAAUCGAUUGCGACGCGUCAAUGGAUUUUCGUAAGCACGCGGUUUUCAAAUGAUUUUCCAGACAACCCGGCACGAAGUAUUGAUAUAAUUCUAUACUACAAAUAAAACCUAGUCUGGAUCAACCAAUUAUUUAAUUAAAUGUAAUUAAUAUUAAUUUUAUAUUAAUUGUACUACAGUAUGAUGAUAGAUUGAAAAAUAAGUGAUAUCUAUUUUAAAUCUAUAAAAUAUAAUUUCACUGAAAUAUA
This is a long non-coding RNA of Aphis gossypii (cotton aphid), 406 nucleotides long. RefSeq lists it as uncharacterized. The record is from RefSeq and is a predicted model, not a curated record. NCBI's taxonomy places the organism in Eukaryota, Metazoa, Arthropoda, Insecta, Hemiptera, Aphididae. The transcript has 2 exons.